Molecule: ribosomal RNA, 460 nt
Filed under: uncultured bacterium
Lineage: Bacteria
Description: partial 16S ribosomal RNA
Rfam family: Bacterial small subunit ribosomal RNA
Source: RNAcentral
CCUACGGGCGGCAGCAGUGAGGAAUAUUGGUCAAUGGACGAGAGUCUGAACCAGCCAAGUAGCGUGAAGGAUGACUGCCCUAUGGGUUGUAAACUUCUUUUAUAAAGGAAUAAAACGAGGCACGUGUGCCUUUUUGCAUGUACUUUAUGAAUAAGGAUCGGCUAACUCCGUGCCAGCAGCCGCGGUAAUACGGAGGAUCCGAGCGUUAUCCGGAUUUAUUGGGUUUAAAGGGAGCGUAGAUGGGUUGUUAAGUCAGUUGUGAAAGGUUGCGGCUCAACCGUAAAAUUGCAAUUGAUACUGGCAGUCUUGAGUACAGGUGAGGUAGGCGGAAUGCGUGGUGUAGCGGUGAAAUGCUUAGAUAUCACGAAGAACCCCGAUUGCGAAGGCAGCUUACUAAACUGUGACUGACAUUGAUGCUCGAAAGUGUGGGUAUCAAACAGGAUUAGAUACCCGAGUAGUC